GCUUGUCUCAAAGAUUAAGCCAUGCAUGUCUUAGUGUAAAUAACUCUUAUGAAACUGCGAAUGGCUCAUUAAAUCAGUUAUCGUUUAUUUGAUGGUCCCUUACUACAUGGAUAACCGUAGUAAUUCUAGAGCUAAUACAUGCACAAAGGCCCGACUCACGAAGGGCUGUAUUUAUUAGAUUAAAAACCAAUGCCCUCUGGGCUCUCUGGUGAUUCAUGAUAACUUCUCGAAUCGCAUGGCCUUGCGCCGGCGAUGGUUCAUUCAAAUUUCUUCCCUAUCAACUUUCGAUGUUUGGGUAGUGGCCAAACAUGGUUGCAACGGGUAACGGAGGGUUAGGGCUCGACCCCGGAGAAGGAGCCUGAGAAACGGCUACUACAUCCAAGGAAGGCAGCAGG
Molecule: ribosomal RNA, 395 nt
Filed under: Claviceps africana
Lineage: Eukaryota; Fungi; Ascomycota; Sordariomycetes; Hypocreales; Clavicipitaceae
Description: partial small subunit ribosomal RNA
Rfam family: Eukaryotic small subunit ribosomal RNA
Source: RNAcentral